Molecule: ribosomal RNA, 348 nt
Filed under: Triticum aestivum (bread wheat)
Lineage: Eukaryota; Viridiplantae; Streptophyta; Magnoliopsida; Poales; Poaceae
Description: partial small subunit ribosomal RNA
Source: RNAcentral
AUGCAUAGGCCACAACCCGGGGUGCCCAGCAGCCCAAACCAGCACCACGCCGGCCGGGGCACACCACAACACCUUCCCAGAGGGCCGGCUCUGCCAAACAGCUCGGCCAAGCCAGGGAGGCCAGAAGCUGCAGCUCCAGAUCCACCCACGGCCGCCAUGAGCCGCUGGCCCACCACCACGCACGUCCGCCCUGCCGCCCGCGCGGCCCAGGACGGCCAGCGCCGCCGCAUCCCGCCGACGGCCUGCGCCCUGCCAGAUGCGGGCACGAAGCCCGCAUCCGCCGUCAACCGGCACGCCGCCAAGACUCCACCGCGAGGAGGAGGGGAGGACGACGCUGCCAUAGUCUAG